RNAcentral lists this small RNA (180 nucleotides) under Pseudomonas putida. RNAcentral's name for it is "Pseudomonas sRNA P1". It matches the Rfam family "Pseudomonas sRNA P1". From Rfam's summary of the family: There appears to be two related copies of P1 sRNA in the P.aeruginosa PA01 genome and both copies appear to be located upstream of predicted glutamine synthetase genes. This sRNA appears to be conserved amongst several Pseudomonas species. The record is from RNAcentral. Lineage: Bacteria; Pseudomonadati; Pseudomonadota; Gammaproteobacteria; Pseudomonadales; Pseudomonadaceae.
ACCCUCGUAUUAUUGUGUUCUGGGUUGUGACCGAGCUUAGCCUUGUUCAUUUUUUUACACAACACCCGCGUAAAAAAUAAAAGACGGCACGCUUGAGAUAGCCCUUCGUAGGUGAAAUAGCGGAUAAUGGCACGCCCCGAUUUGCAGCAAAUCUGCCGUAGAUGUGCCAUUUCAGGGCAU